Actinia tenebrosa (Australian red waratah sea anemone) is the source of this 1229-nucleotide long non-coding RNA. RefSeq lists it as uncharacterized. The record is from RefSeq and is a predicted model, not a curated record. Lineage: Eukaryota; Metazoa; Cnidaria; Anthozoa; Actiniaria; Actiniidae.
CAUUAUGCUAAUCCUAUUGUUUUCUAUUGCUGAAUUUAAGCGCUAUUUACUCACUAAAUAGUGCUAAGUGUUGGACACUUUUAGUAACAACAUUAUUGCAAGUAGGUGUAUAUAUAUAGUGACUCAAAUAACUUUAGGUCAGGUGCACUGAGCUACUUGGACUCUUAUGGUGAGCUAAUUGAGGUCGUCAAUGUGGGUUUUCAACUUGCUUAACGAAUGAAUUGUCAGGGUUUUUUUUUGUAAUAUAAAAAUGAAUCAUUAAAUGUUGCUUUUUUCGUGUAAUUUUAAUAUCCCACAUAGCCGAUACUAAAGAUGACAGUCAGACAGAUGUGAAACUUCCUGAGAAAGUAGGCCAUCGCUCAACUGCCAUACUUUUGGAUUCCUUGCACCCUGGRGAGUUGAAAGGUAAAAGGAAAAGAACACAAAGAGGACAAGAAACAGAGGAAAAGAGAAAAACAAAGAAGACAAUAUAAUAAUUAAAGGAAGGCUGGUCAUAGAGUACGGGGCUGGAAAUAUAGGAGGGUGGGCCACAAUUUUCAUAUGCACAAAAAGGGGUGGGUGAGAAAAUAUAAUACACCUGAUACACUCAAGGGGUGAGCCAUGUAAUUUCUUUGCAGAAUUGUUCUGUGCUUGUGUAUUGUUUCAUAACUAGUCAAAUUUACACCAUUGGAGUAACAGAAUAUCUACACAAAUGGGGCAAUUUGUACAUUUGUAAGAUGGGCUUCCUUCCCCCCAAAAUUAGACUAUUCUGUUCAGGCUCAUUGGUUCUGCCAAGCCCCAGUGGUUUUGUUUUYCACAUGUAAAUCUAUAGUCUAUACCGUAUUUUAAUCGGUCUAUUGAUAUUUGAAGUCAAUUAAAGGACAACAACAGCAACAAACUUGUGUUAAUUAACAGGAUAAUUUGGUCAACUACGUACUACUACUACUGAGAACCACUAUAGAAGCCUAAGUUCAAGAUUCAGACAUACUGACAUCAUCAUCUGAAUCUCGUACACAUAAUCUUCAUCAUAACCUGUAUCACUAAAACUGAACGAAGUUAAAAAUUGUAGAUCCAUCAGUGAUUUAAUCUCUAAAAUGGCACUCUUGGUGAAUAUCUUCUCCUCUUUACCAUUUUCGGCCAUUUCACAAUAUCCCCUUUUUAAUUCCUGAUAUCCCAGUGUAAUAGAGUGAAGAGAAGUGACCUUCUGGUGUACAAUUUUGGGGUUAUUUAAUAAAAUGAAAGCGUUUUAA